UUCGUGUCUCCAGCAAGUUUCAAGUCGUGACCUGCUCACGCAUUUUUCCCCCUUUACUCUCCAAAGUCUCUCUCCCAUUUAUGAGUGUAUUACUCCUAUGGAUUUGCAGUUUCUCCUGAUUUCUUUUACUCUCUGUGGACAUAUAUCCCCACAGAGUAUUAGAUUUUGCAUACAUACAUUUGCAUCAUGAGGUCUCUUAGGGACCAAAAUUCAUCUCUUUG
This 221-nucleotide long non-coding RNA is filed under the name Lathyrus oleraceus (garden pea). RNAcentral describes it as "Pisum sativum (pea) long non-coding RNA (PSAT_LNC033856)". Lineage: Eukaryota; Viridiplantae; Streptophyta; Magnoliopsida; Fabales; Fabaceae. The record is from RNAcentral.